RNAcentral lists this long non-coding RNA (1318 nucleotides) under Fragaria vesca (wild strawberry). RNAcentral's name for it is "long non-coding RNA (FVES_LNC002393)". Lineage: Eukaryota; Viridiplantae; Streptophyta; Magnoliopsida; Rosales; Rosaceae. The record is from RNAcentral.
UGUAAAAACAUUCUUACGUCCUUUUUCUUUUAUAUCUAAAAUAUACAAUUUACAAAUUUGAAAAUGAAUAUUAAAUAACUUCCUUCGACCACCCUUGGCUACUUAUAAACGUGAGGACAAUGCAACUGAGUCCAAUAUAUCAUAACAAACACGACCUGUAGAUUGAUGCAGACAUAGAGCAUGGAUAAUUGUUUUAGGCCUAAUCAGAGAAUAUACAUUAAACCUUAUAGUUACGUUAAUGUAUAAUAGUCUCGUAGCCGUACAAUGUUUGUAUUACUGUUGAACGAAAAUAACGUAAAGAGGAAAUUUUACAAAUAAUAUCUCAAUUACAAGUUAUUUAUCACAUUGAUGUAUCAAUUUCAAAAAUUAUUAGAUUAGUACCCCAACAUCAAAAUUCGACCUACUAUCAAUAUAUGUCGUCUUUAAAUGGUGUUAAGUCUUCAUCUUCUUUAAGAUAUUUUCGUAUCUUGCUAUUUUAACUCUAUUUUGAGAUUUUUCAUUCCUUAUUCAAUCAACUACUAUUUCCUCACCUCAACAAACCAAUUUCAAAAAUUAUUAGAUUAGUACCCCAACAUCGAAAUUCAACCUACUAUCAAUACAUGUCGUCUUUAAACGGUGUUAAGUCUUCAUCUUCUUUAGGAUAUUUUCGUAUCUUGCUAUUUUAACUCUAUUUUGAGAUUUUCAUUCCUUACUCAAUCAACUACUAUUUCCUCACCUCAACAAACAACCAUCAAUCCCACCACUAAACUCUUCAUCAAGGCGGCCAACACCAUGAUGUAAUACCCCAAUCCCUACUCCCCAAUUCCAUCAACCUUAACCCAAAACAUCCAAAUUAUCUACUUCAUCAAUUCAAUCCAUAGCCUUAUAUUCUCAAUCCAACCCCAAAACCCCUCCUACCAAAUUCCGUAUCAUGUGCACUUUAGAUCCAAAAUCACCAUUAAUGGGGAUCAAACUACAAAUAGAUGUGCAUAGGACGAGAAGUCGUGGACUGGGUUUCUUUAUCUUUGGAGCAGGCAACUGCUCUCUCUCCUUCUCUCUUCCUCCCCUCACUCUUUUGUACACCAAACAAACUUCAGUUUUACACACUUAUGGGUUUUUGUUUUUGUUUAAAACUUUAAAUUACCAAUUUUCUUGUUGGGUUUUUGUAUGAAACAUAGAUUGUGAGGGAUAUGAGUUUAUUGUAUUGCAUGGAUAGUUAAAAAUGCUUUCUGGGUUUUUGCACGGAUUGAGCCAAAGAGUUUUUGAGUUUUUGGCACAGAUGGAGCUAGAGAUAAAAUCAUACAGGCACAGCCAAAAAAAAAGAACGAAAUUGUCCUUG